GUGGGGAAUUUUGGACAAUGGGCGAAAGCCUGAUCCAGCCAUGCCGCGUGCAGGAUGAAGGCCUUCGGGUUGUAAACUGCUUUUGUACGGAACGAAAAGACUCCUUCUAAUAAAGGGGGUCCAUGACGGUACCGUAAGAAUAAGCACCGGCUAACUACGUGCCAGCAGCCGCGGUAAUACGUAGGGUGCAAGCGUUAAUCGGAAUUACUGGGCGUAAAGCGUUCGCAGGCGGUUAUAUAAGACAGAUGUGAAAUCCCCGGGCUCAACCUGGGAACUGCAGUUGUGACUGUAUAGAUAGAGUACGGUAGAGGGGGAUGGAAUUCCGCGUGUAGCAGUGAAAUGCGUAGAUAGGCGGAGGAACACCGAUGGCGAAGGCAAUCCCCUGGACCUGUACUGACGCUCAUGCACGAAAGCGUGGGGAGCAAACAGGAUUAGAAACCCGGGUAGUCC
RNAcentral lists this ribosomal RNA (450 nucleotides) under uncultured bacterium. Its description in RNAcentral is "partial 16S ribosomal RNA". It matches the Rfam family "Bacterial small subunit ribosomal RNA", at positions 354 to 796 of the family's 1533-position model. The record is from RNAcentral.